UACGAAGGGGGCUAGCGUUGUUCGGAAUUACUGGGCGUAAAGCGCACGUAGGCGGAUUGUUAAGUUAGGGGUGAAAUCCCGGGGCUCAACCCCGGAACUGCCUUUAAUACUGGCAAUCUCGAGUCCGAGAGAGGUGAGUGGAAUUCCGAGUGUAGAGGUGAAAUUCGUAGAUAUUCGGAGGAACACCAGUGGCGAAGGCGACUCACUGGCCCGAUACUGACGCUGAGGCGCGAAAGCGUGGGGAGCAAACAGG
Molecule: ribosomal RNA, 253 nt
Filed under: uncultured bacterium
Lineage: Bacteria
Description: partial 16S ribosomal RNA
Rfam family: Bacterial small subunit ribosomal RNA
Source: RNAcentral